RNAcentral lists this transfer RNA (69 nucleotides) under Ovis aries (sheep). It matches the Rfam family "tRNA". Rfam says of the family: Transfer RNA (tRNA) molecules are approximately 80 nucleotides in length. The record is from Rfam by way of RNAcentral. Lineage: Eukaryota; Metazoa; Chordata; Mammalia; Artiodactyla; Bovidae.
CCUGGUGGCUCAGAGGUUAAAGCGUCUGCCUGGAAUGCAGGAGACCCGGGUUCGAUCCUUGGGUCAGGA